Small nucleolar RNA from Cynocephalus volans (Philippine flying lemur), 132 nucleotides. RefSeq annotates it as small nucleolar RNA SNORA51. Lineage: Eukaryota; Metazoa; Chordata; Mammalia; Dermoptera; Cynocephalidae. The transcript has a single exon. The record is from RefSeq and is a predicted model, not a curated record.
GGCUUCCUGUUGCUUUCCACAGGCUGCACUUUUGCACUGACUGCAUAGAAAGGGGAGGCAGAGUAAAUCCACCCCAUAUACACCUAAGCCCAGGCACCGUGCCUGGCUUGUACUGUAAAUGGGGCAACAAAA